CACGUAGGGGGCAAGCGUUGUCCGGAUUUAUUGGGCGUAAAGAGCUCGUAGGCGGUUCGGUAAGUCGGGUGUGAAACCUCCAGGCUCAACCUGGAGACGCCACCCGAUACUGCUGUGACUAGAGUCCGGUAGGGGAGCGUGGAAUUCCUGGUGUAGCGGUGAAAUGCGCAGAUAUCAGGAGGAACACCAAUGGCGAAGGCAGCUCGCUGGAACGGUACUGACGCUGAGGCGCGAAAGCGUGGGGAGCGAACAGG
Molecule: ribosomal RNA, 254 nt
Filed under: uncultured bacterium
Lineage: Bacteria
Description: partial 16S ribosomal RNA
Rfam family: Bacterial small subunit ribosomal RNA
Source: RNAcentral